GUGUUGGAUUGUCAGACCGUAAUGUUGCAGCUCAAAGCAGCUUUUCUAUCUCAGUUCAUUCUGACAUUCAGCUAUGAAUCAACACAGCAGAUGGUGAUCCAUGCUGUGGAAGUCUCACAUCUCCUGAUUUAAUGGAGCUGCUUUGCACUUUUUACACUGUUUAUUCACCAACACUUUAUUUAAUAAAAGUCCAUCUAGUUUUUAUGAGGAAUGUGAUGUUUUAAUUUCUCUGUGAAUAACUGCAGUCUAAUGCAACAGCUGGAGUUGUAACAUCUGUCCUGAUAUUGAUCAUGAAGUAUUGAUCAGAAUACUUAUGGUCAGCAGUCAUCCCUGAAGUUUUACAUUAAAAUCUUUACUUGUGUUGUGAACUUUGGUAAGAAGCAGAAACUUUAGCGUUGCCAUGGAUACAUGAGUGUUAAAUUCUGUCCAUGUUUCCAUUUUGGGAAAUUCAGUCCAGCAGAUGAGUUUGUUUUUACUGCCAGCAACCAUUCAGUCUGAGAUAUUAAGAAUAAAUAAAUGUGCAUAAUGUGGAAAUGAACAGAUUCUAUUUUUAUUUAUACCUACAGCUGCUGGUAAAGUUCCAGAAUGUGGAGGAAUUUAGUCUCACAAUCACAGACAAUAAAUAUUAUCUGAAAGUCAGGUUAUUGUUGUUUAUCAGCACAAUACAAAAAGAUUAAUGUUAGAAAUAUUCCAGUUAAGACUCUAGAAUAUCAGGAUUUAUGUAAAUUUACCUCAAUAAUAUGAAUGUUCAGGUUAAGAUUGUACAGUGAUAUUUAUUAUGUAAGUUUAGCUGAUUAAAGUUUAUGACUCUGCACUAAAAUAUUAUGUAUUUAAAUUGACAUCAUUAUUAUAAUAUUUAGGGUCAGACCCUACAGUAUUGAGAUUAAGAAAUCAAAUAUUCUAUAAAAUAUAAAUACACUGAACUCAUUUGGAUAUAUUUAAGUGAGACUCUACAAUAUUAUUUGACACAAAUCUAUCUAAAUCAAAACUUUAAUCAUUUUUACUCCAAACAUUUACUGGACUGAUUUAAACAUUAAAAUCACUCCUUUCUAAUCCUCUGCUGUACGUUCAAACCUGAGGCCUUAAAUAGAAACACACAAGUAUCUGAUUGAAGGAACUUCUGCAGAGUCCUGGUUCCAGAACAUGAUGAUAGAAUUAUAGACAAACUUUAACAAAAGCUGCCUGAGAGUUUACAGGUUUUUAUGUUAGAUUUCUUCAGUAAUUUAAUGAGAGUUAUCAGCAAAAAUCAAGUGUUCAUUUGAUGAACUUAGUUUCCUAAAACAUCCAGAAUUGGAGCUCAUAUCUUUGGCAGCUGUCAAGUUUCUGCUCCUUCAAAGUUCACAACACAAUGAAUGAAUUCCUAAAACACUCUCAAUGCUGGAGAGCGUUUGUGAUGCUGAAGCAGUGAUCAGUUUUUCUGAUUCUUCUCUGGAGAUGCACAAUGAGGGACGUCUGCAGCGACUGAGAAAGAGUCUCACCACAUCCUGACAUGAGGAAAAAGA
Long non-coding RNA from Amphiprion ocellaris (clown anemonefish), 1502 nucleotides. Lineage: Eukaryota; Metazoa; Chordata; Actinopteri; Pomacentridae. The record is from Ensembl.